This 346-nucleotide long non-coding RNA is filed under the name Dasypus novemcinctus (nine-banded armadillo). Its description in RNAcentral is "lncRNA (ENSDNOG00000050434.1)". The record is from RNAcentral. Lineage: Eukaryota; Metazoa; Chordata; Mammalia; Cingulata; Dasypodidae.
GUUGGGAUGAUAAAUAAGAAGCAUUCAACUACUCAGGUCAUGAGAGUUUUACUCUAAAAGCCGGGGCCAAAGGGACCCCGCAGGCAGUUCUUAGAGUCCCCCAAGUCGGGGAGGGCGUGGCCACUCCGAGCCCCGCCCCGCAGAGGCCGCCUUCCCCACCAGGCCCCUCCCCGUCCACACCGGCCCCGCCCCCUCCCGCAGGCCCCGCCCCCUUGCGUCCUGUUCCCUUACGACUGCCCCGCGCACUGAAGAUGGCCGCCGCCGCGGGAAGGCUGCUUCGGGCUUCGGUUGUCCGACAUGUGAGCGCCAUUCCUUGGGGCAUCUCUGCCCUUAGACCUGCUGCUUC